This is a long non-coding RNA of Lathyrus oleraceus (garden pea), 966 nucleotides long. RefSeq lists it as uncharacterized. NCBI's taxonomy places the organism in Eukaryota, Viridiplantae, Streptophyta, Magnoliopsida, Fabales, Fabaceae. The record is from RefSeq and is a predicted model, not a curated record. The transcript is spliced from 3 exons.
GAUAACAUUCAGAAUAAAUAAAAUAAAAAAAUUUGAUUGUUAGCUCCUCACCACCAUUUUCGUUUUCGAACCCUCUAGCCAUUUCACUCACCCAUUCAGAGUCAAUUGCUAUUGCUCGCAGUCGUUCGAUUUCAUUUUCCACCCUUCAAUUUAUGUGCCUCUGUUCGAUUUCAUUUUCAUGGUUUCUUCAUUUGCAUGCUGAAUUUGAGCCUAAAGUUCUAAGAAAAUAUGUGAGAGAAGUUAGGAAUAUUAAAUCUUCUGAAGAGAAAGUGUUGUCGUGGAAAGCUUGACUCAAAACUGAAGUUAGGAAUAUUAAAUCUUCUGAAGAGAAAGUGUUGUCGUGGAAAGCUAGACUCAGAACUGGAUGAAUUUGAAGUCAUCGAGAAUAUUUGAGAUUUUGGAAAAAGUUGACACUGAUGUAUCAUAUUGUCUUGAAAGGCAUUCAAAUUAAUGAAAACAACAUACAUGUUGAUUCAUUAUUGGAAAAAAAGUUCCAAGAAUAGGAAUAUAUGACAUAUGAAAGACAACCAUAUCAAGACUCAUGUUUGUCAAAAACUUUGCACGAUAUGAGUGUGUAUGCUUCAUGGAAAAGUUUGGUUGAGGCUAUUGGAUGAUCAUUGGUUUGUAUAUUGUGUUAUGGGAACAAGCCAAAGAUUUUAAUGGGACAAAACAAGAACCACCACAAUCAAAGAUGGAGGAUGGUGAAAGAAGCAACAGAACAACUUUGGAAGAACCACUUCUUGCAAAGAAAUUAGAAUAUGUGGCAGAGAUAAAGAUGGAUGGCUAAUGAUUUAAGCCAAUGGUAGUUUGGGUGAAACUUUAUCACUUUCAAAUUGAAGAAAUAAAAAUUCGAUUUGUUUCUUUACUAGCUAGAAUUGAUUAUCAUAAAUUGAUUGUAACAUUAUUUCACUUUAUGCAUUAGAAGUGUUACUUUAGCCAUAUAUUAAUAAUUAAUGUACAACUCAA